This is a non-coding RNA of Schistocerca serialis cubense, 73 nucleotides long. The record is from the annotation of a RefSeq genome assembly. Lineage: Eukaryota; Metazoa; Arthropoda; Insecta; Orthoptera; Acrididae.
GCUGUGGUGGUGUAAUGGUUAACAUUUCUGCCUACCAAGCAAGAAGACCUGGGUUCGAGUCCCAGCUGCAGCA